CCCCACCAGCUAUACCCACCCAAAUAUGAAGCUCGACUUGAGAGAGCUGAUCAGAGGAGUGUUGGGGCAGAAGGGAGAGGAGGGCGGAGAGAGCCGUAAUCAAUCCCAUCGUUGCUUCCAUUUUUGUUCCUUGGUUUUCUUUGUUUUCGUUUCUCAGGUGAGGGCUGGAUGGCUCUAAAACUCUCUGAUAAUUUUUAUUUAUUUUGUAUUUUUGAGAGAAAGUAUAGCUUAUUGUUUUUGUACUUUAGAGGCCAUGAACGCAGCAACCAAGUUGGCUCGAUAUGCUCGUCUUCACUUUCUUUCUCCGUCUACCCCACUUGCCAAAUAAGUUUUGCUCUCAUACAGUCUCACUGUAAAAUCCAAGGUCCCUUUUUGGCCCGAAAAAGUUUAUGCUACUUUCGAAGCUCCAAUCUUGAAAACCAAGAUCCAGUUUAGAAAAGAAGAAAUGCUCUCGAAAAUCUCAGUUACCCACGUGAAAGCAUCACCAUCUGCAUCCACUUCUGGAUUUAUUAAUUUUUUUAAAGGGUUGAAAUAUAAUUUUGCCUCUGCACACAUUUAGCACAGGCAAUUAAACUGACGGAAUUGAGAUAUGUGACUUG
This 599-nucleotide long non-coding RNA is filed under the name Prunus dulcis (almond). RNAcentral's name for it is "sRNA ncRNA". Lineage: Eukaryota; Viridiplantae; Streptophyta; Magnoliopsida; Rosales; Rosaceae. The record is from RNAcentral.